Molecule: ribosomal RNA, 1334 nt
Filed under: uncultured bacterium
Lineage: Bacteria
Description: bacterial SSU rRNA
Rfam family: Bacterial small subunit ribosomal RNA
Source: RNAcentral
GAUGAACGCUGGCGGCGUGCCUAACACACGCAAGUCGAGCGAAGCGCUGUUUUCAGAAUCUUCGGAGGAAGAGGACAGUGACUGAGCGGCGGACGGGUGAGUAACGCGUGGGCAACCUGCCUCAUACAGGGGGAUAACAGUUAGAAAUGACUGCUAAUACCGCAUAAGCGCACAGGACCGCAUGGUGUAGUGUGAAAAACUCCGGUGGUAUGAGAUGGACCCGCGUCUGAUUAGGUAGUUGGUGGGGUAAAGGCCUACCAAGCCGACGAUCAGUAGCCGACCUGAGAGGGUGACCGGCCACAUUGGGACUGAGACACGGCCCAAACUCCUACGGGAGGCAGCAGUGGGGAAUAUUGCACAAUGGGGGAAACCCUGAUGCGGCGACGCCGCGUGAAGGAAGAAGUAUUUCGGUAUGUAAACUUCUAUCAGCAGGGAAGAAAAUGACGGCACCUGAGUAAGAAGCACCGGCUAAAUACGUGCCAGCAGCCGCGGUAAUACGUAUGGUGCAAGCGUUAUCCGGAUUUACUGGGUGUAAAGGGAGCGUAGACGGAUAGGCAAGUCUGGAGUGAAAACCCAGGGCUCAACCCUGGGACUGCUUUGGAAACUGCAGAUCUGGAGUGCCGGAGAGGUAAGCGGAAUUCCUAGUGUAGCGGUGAAAUGCGUAGAUAUUAGGAGGAACACCAGUGGCGAAGGCGGCUUACUGGACGGUGGCUGACGUUGAGGCUCGAAAGCGUGGGGAGCAAACAGGAGUAGAUACCCUGGUAGUCCACGCCGUAAACGAUCCUAAAGGGGUCGGUGUGCAAAGCACAUCGGUGCCGCAGCAAACGCAAUAAGUAGUCCACCCUGGGGAGUACGUUCGCAAGAAUGAAACUCAAAGGAAUAGACGGGGACCCGCACAAGCGGUGGAGCAUGUGGUUUAAUUCGAAGCAACGCGAAGAACCUUACCUGGUCUUGACAUCCGGAUGACGGGCGAGUAAUGUCGCCGUCCCUUCGGGGCAUCCGAGACAGGUGGUGCAUGGUUGUCGUCAGCUCGUGUCGUGAGAUGUUGGGUUAAGUCCCGCAACGAGCGCAACCCUUAUCUUCAGUAGCCAGCAUAUAAGGUGGGCACUCUGGAGAGACUGCCAGGGAGAACCUGGAGGAAGGUGGGGAUGACGUCAAAUCAUCAUGCCCCCUAUGGCCAGGGCUACACACGUGCUACAAUGGCGUAAACAAAGGGAAGCGAGAGGGUGACCUGAAGCGAAUCCCAAAAAUAACGUCUCAGUUCGGAUUGUAGUCUGCAACUCGACUACAUGAAGCUGGAAUCGCUAGUAAUCGCGGAUCAGCAUGCCGCGGCG